Molecule: ribosomal RNA, 460 nt
Filed under: uncultured bacterium
Lineage: Bacteria
Description: partial 16S ribosomal RNA
Rfam family: Bacterial small subunit ribosomal RNA
Source: RNAcentral
CCUACGGGGGGCAGCAGUGAGGAAUAUUGGUCAAUGGGCGGGAGCCUGAACCAGCCAAGUCGCGUGAGGGAAGACGGCCCUAUGGAUUGUAAACCUCUUUUGGCGGGGAGCAAUGCCGGGCACGCGUGCCCGGAGGGAGAGUACCCGCAGAAUAAGCAUCGGCUAACUCCGUCCCAGCAGCCGCGGGAAUACGGAGGAUGCGAGCGUUAUCCGGAUUUAUUGGGUUUAAAGGGUGCGUAGGCGGGGUUUUAAGUCAGCGGUAAAAUGUCGGGGCUCAACCCGGGCCGGCCGUUGAAACUGGGGAUCUUGAGUGGGCGAGAGGUAUGCGGAAUGCGUGGUGUAGCGGUGAAAUGCAUAGAUAUCACGCAGAACUCCGAUUGCGAAGGCAGCGUACCGGCGCCCGACUGACGCUGAGGCACGAAAGCGUGGGGAUCGAACAGGAUUAGAUACCCGGGUAGUC